This 253-nucleotide ribosomal RNA is filed under the name uncultured bacterium. Its description in RNAcentral is "partial 16S ribosomal RNA". It matches the Rfam family "Bacterial small subunit ribosomal RNA", at positions 524 to 776 of the family's 1533-position model. The record is from RNAcentral.
UACGGGGGGGGCAAGCGUUGUUCGGAAUUACUGGGCGUAAAGGGCUCGUAGGCGGCCAACUAAGUCAGACGUGAAAUCCCUCGGCUUAACCGGGGAACUGCGUCUGAUACUGGAUGGCUUGAAUCCGGGAGAGGGAUGCGGAAUUCCAGGUGUAGCGGUGAAAUGCGUAGAUAUCUGGAGGAACACCGGUGGCGAAGGCGGCAUCCUGGACCGGCAUUGACGCUGAGGUGCGAAAGCUAGGGGAGCAAACAGG